AUUGAACGCUGGCGGCAGGCUUAACACAUGCAAGUCGAGCGGUAGCACAGGGGAGCUUGCUCCCUGGGUGACGAGCGGCGGACGGGUGAGUAAUGUCUGGGAAACUGCCUGAUGGAGGGGGAUAACUACUGGAAACGGUAGCUAAUACCGCAUAACGUCGCAAGACCAAAGAGGGGGACCUUCGGGCCUCUUGCCAUCAGAUGUGCCCAGAUGGGAUUAGCUAGUAGGUGGGGUAAUGGCUCACCUAGGCGACGAUCCCUAGCUGGUCUGAGAGGAUGACCAGCCACACUGGAACUGAGACACGGUCCAGACUCCUACGGGAGGCAGCAGUGGGGAAUAUUGCACAAUGGGCGCAAGCCUGAUGCAGCCAUGCCGCGUGUGUGAAGAAGGCCUUCGGGUUGUAAAGCACUUUCAGCGAGGAGGAAGGUGGUGAACUUAAUACGUUCAUCAAUUGACGUUACUCGCAGAAGAAGCACCGGCUAACUCCGUGCCAGCAGCCGCGGUAAUACGGAGGGUGCAAGCGUUAAUCGGAAUUACUGGGCGUAAAGCGCACGCAGGCGGUUUGUUAAGUCAGAUGUGAAAUCCCCGGGCUCAACCUGGGAACUGCAUUUGAAACUGGCAAGCUAGAGUCUCGUAGAGGGGGGUAGAAUUCCAGGUGUAGCGGUGAAAUGCGUAGAGAUCUGGAGGAAUACCGGUGGCGAAGGCGGCCCCCUGGACGAAGACUGACGCUCAGGUGCGAAAGCGUGGGGAGCAAACAGGAUUAGAUACCCUGGUAGUCCACGCUGUAAACGAUGUCGAUUUGGAGGUUGUGCCCUUGAGGCGUGGCUUCCGGAGCUAACGCGUUAAAUCGACCGCCUGGGGAGUACGGCCGCAAGGUUAAAACUCAAAUGAAUUGACGGGGGCCCGCACAAGCGGUGGAGCAUGUGGUUUAAUUCGAUGCAACGCGAAGAACCUUACCUACUCUUGACAUCCAGAGAACUUUCCAGAGAUGGAUUGGUGCCUUCGGGAACUCUGAGACAGGUGCUGCAUGGCUGUCGUCAGCUCGUGUUGUGAAAUGUUGGGUUAAGUCCCGCAACGAGCGCAACCCUUAUCCUUUGUUGCCAGCGGUUCGGCCGGGAACUCAAAGGGACUGCCAGUGAUAAACUGGAGGAAGGUGGGGGUGACGUCAAGUCAUCAUGGCCCUUACGAGUAGGGCUACACACGUGCUACAAUGGCAUAUACAAAGAGAAGCGACCUCGCGAGAGCAAGCGGACCUCAUAAAGUAUGUCGUAGUCCGGAUUGGAGUCUGCAACUCGACUCCAUGAAGUCGGAAUCGCUAGUAAUCGUAGAUCAGAAUGCUACGGUGAAUACGUUCCCGGGCCU
Molecule: ribosomal RNA, 1362 nt
Filed under: uncultured bacterium
Lineage: Bacteria
Description: bacterial SSU rRNA
Rfam family: Bacterial small subunit ribosomal RNA
Source: RNAcentral